CUACGGGGUGCACCAGUGGGGAAUAUUGCACAAUGGGCGCAAGCCUGAUGCAGCCAUGCCGCGUGUAUGAAGAAGGCCUUCGGGUUGUAAAGUACUUUCAGCGGGGAGGAAGGGAGUAAAGUUAAUACCUUUGCUCAUUGACGUUACCCGCAGAAGAAGCACCGGCUAACUCCGUGCCAGCAGCCGCGGUAAUACGGAGGGUGCAAGCGUUAAUCGGAAUUACUGGGCGUAAAGCGCACGCAGGCGGUUUGUUAAGUCAGAUGUGAAAUCCCCGGGCUCAACCUGGGAACUGCAUCUGAUACUGGCAAGCUUGAGUAUCGUAGGGGGGGGUAGAAUUCCAGGUGUAGCGGUGAAAUGCGUAGAGAUCUGGAGGAAUACCGGUGGCGAAGGCGGCCCCCUGGACGAAGACUGACGCUCAGGUGCGAAAGCGUGGGGAGCAAACAGGAUUAGAUACCCUUGUAGUC
RNAcentral lists this ribosomal RNA (464 nucleotides) under uncultured bacterium. RNAcentral's name for it is "partial 16S ribosomal RNA". It matches the Rfam family "Bacterial small subunit ribosomal RNA", at positions 339 to 795 of the family's 1533-position model. The record is from RNAcentral.